AUUGAACGCUGGCGGCAGGCCUAACACAUGCAAGUCGAGCGGAUGAAGGGAGCUUGCUCCUGGAUUCAGCGGCGGACGGGUGAGUAAUGCCUAGGAAUCUGCCUGGUAGUGGGGGAUAACGUCCGGACACGGGCGCUAAUACCGCAUACGUCCUGAGGGAGAAAGUGGGGGAUCUUCGGACCUCACGCUAUCAGAUGAGCCUAGGUCGGAUUAGCUAGUUGGUGGGGUAAAGGCCUACCAAGGCGACGAUCCGUAACUGGUCUGAGAGGAUGAUCAGUCACACUGGAACUGAGACACGGUCCAGACUCCUACGGGAGGCAGCAGUGGGGAAUAUUGGACAAUGGGCGAAAGCCUGAUCCAGCCAUGCCGCGUGUGUGAAGAAGGUCUUCGGAUUGUAAAGCACUUUAGGUUGGGAGGAAGGGCAGUAAGUUAAUACCUUGCUGUUUUGACGUUACCAACAGAAUAAGCACCGGCUAACUUCGUG
Molecule: ribosomal RNA, 484 nt
Filed under: uncultured bacterium
Lineage: Bacteria
Description: partial 16S ribosomal RNA
Rfam family: Bacterial small subunit ribosomal RNA
Source: RNAcentral